GACGAACGCUGGCGGCGUGCCUAAUACAUGCAAGUUGAGCGCUGAAGGUUGGUCCUUGUACCAACUGGAUGAGCAGCGAACGGGUGAGUAACGCGUGGGGAAUCUGCCUUUGAGCGGGGGACAACAUUUGGAAACGAAUGCUAAUACCGCAUAAAAACUUUAAACACAAGUUUUAAGUUUGAAAGAUGCAAUUGCAUCACUCAAAGAUGAUCCCGCGUUGUAUUAGCUAGUUGGUGAGGUAAAGGCUCACCAAGGCGAUGAUACAUAGCCGACCUGAGAGGGUGAUCGGCCACAUUGGGACUGAGACACGGCCCAAACUCCUGCGGGAGGCAGCAGUAGGGAAUCUUCGGCGAUGGACGAAAGUCUGACCGAGCAACGCCGCGUGAGUGAAGAAGGUUUUCGGAUCGUAAAACUCUGUUGGUAGAGAAGAACGUUGGUGAGAGUGGAAAGCUCAUCAAGUGACGGUAACUACCCAGAAAGGGACGGCUAACUACGUG
This 497-nucleotide ribosomal RNA is filed under the name uncultured bacterium. RNAcentral describes it as "partial 16S ribosomal RNA". It matches the Rfam family "Bacterial small subunit ribosomal RNA", at positions 28 to 507 of the family's 1533-position model. The record is from RNAcentral.